This 483-nucleotide ribosomal RNA is filed under the name uncultured bacterium. RNAcentral describes it as "partial 16S ribosomal RNA". It matches the Rfam family "Bacterial small subunit ribosomal RNA", at positions 28 to 507 of the family's 1533-position model. The record is from RNAcentral.
GAUGAACGCUGGCGGCGUGCCUAACACAUGCAAGUCGAACGGAGUCGUUUUGGAAAUCUCUUCGGAGAUGGAAUUCUCGACUUAGUGGCGGACGGGUGAGUAACGCGUGAGCAAUCUGCCUUUAAGAGGGGGAUAACAGUCGGAAACGGCUGCUAAUACCGCAUAAAGCAUUAAAUACGCAUGUUUUUGAUGCCAAAGGAGCAAUCCGCUUUUAGAUGAGCUCGCGUCUGAUUAGCUAGUUGGCGGGGUAACGGCCCACCAAGGCGACGAUCAGUAGCCGGACUGAGAGGUUGAACGGCCACAUUGGGACUGAGACACGGCCCAGACUCCUACGGGAGGCAGCAGUGGGGAAUAUUGCGCAAUGGGGGAAACCCUGACGCAGCAACGCCGCGUGAUGGAAGAAGGCCUUCGGGUUGUAAAGAUCUUUAAUCAGGGACGAAACAAAUGACGGUACCUGAAGAAUAAGCUCCGGCUAACUACGUG